AUUGAACGCUGGCGGCAUGCUUUACACAUGCAAGUCGAACGGCAGCGCGGGGCAACCUGGCGGCGAGUGGCGAACGGGUGAGUAAUAUAUCGGAACGUACCCAAGAGUGGGGGAUAACGUAGCGAAAGUUACGCUAAUACCGCAUACGAUCUAAGGAUGAAAGUGGGGGAUCGCAAGACCUCAUGCUCCUGGAGCGGCCGAUAUCUGAUUAGCUAGUUGGUGAGGUAAAGGCUCACCAAGGCGACGAUCAGUAGCUGGUCUGAGAGGACGACCAGCCACACUGGAACUGAGACACGGUCCAGACUCCUACGGGAGGCAGCAGUGGGGAAUUUUGGACAGUGGGCGCAAGCCUGAUCCAGCAAUGCCGCGUGAGUGAAGAAGGCCUUCGGGUUGUAAAGCUCUUUUGUCAGGGAAGAAACGGUAGAGGCUAAUAUCCUUUGCUAAUGACGGUACCUGAAGAAUAAGCACCGGCUAACUACGU
Molecule: ribosomal RNA, 481 nt
Filed under: uncultured bacterium
Lineage: Bacteria
Description: partial 16S ribosomal RNA
Rfam family: Bacterial small subunit ribosomal RNA
Source: RNAcentral